This 469-nucleotide ribosomal RNA is filed under the name uncultured bacterium. RNAcentral's name for it is "partial 16S ribosomal RNA". It matches the Rfam family "Bacterial small subunit ribosomal RNA", at positions 28 to 507 of the family's 1533-position model. The record is from RNAcentral.
GACGAACGCUGGCGGCGUGCUUAACACAUGCAAGUCGAACGGAAAGGCCCUGCUUUCAGGGUGCUCGAGUGGCGAACGGGCGAGUAACACGCGGGUGAUCUGCCCCUUUCUUUGGGAUAAGCCUGGGAAACUGGGUCUAAUACUGGAUAGGACCAUGCUUUAGGCGGUGUGGUGGAAAGAGUAGUUCCGGUAGGGGAUGAGCUCGCGGCCUAUCAGCUUGUUGGUGGGGUACUGGCCGACCAAGGCGUCGACGGGUGGCCGGCCUGAGAGGGUGUGCGGCCACGUUGAGACUCCUACGCGAGCCAGCAGCCUGCAGUCGGCCGCAGUGGGGGAUAGUGCAACAUGGGCGCACGCCUGAUGCGACGACGCCGCGUGGGGGGUGACGGCCUUCGAGUUGUAAACACCAUAUAGCCAUGAAGAAGCGCUUGUGGUGACGGUAGUGGUAGAAGAAGCACCGGCUAACUACGUG